This is a long non-coding RNA of Oncorhynchus tshawytscha (Chinook salmon), 231 nucleotides long. RefSeq lists it as uncharacterized. The record is from RefSeq and is a predicted model, not a curated record. Lineage: Eukaryota; Metazoa; Chordata; Actinopteri; Salmoniformes; Salmonidae. The transcript has 4 exons.
GAAUUUGUGUAUGACUACCAGACUCUUCGUAUUGGAGGUCUGACCUUUGUUGCUGUCAUCAUGAUCCUGUCUGUUCUCCUGCUGGCCAGCAACAAAAUCCGCCAGUGUGGAAAGCCCCGGCAAAGAAAGAUUGAAGAGGUUCACCUACCGUAGGACGGCUGGGCACUUGUAUGUUGUUGACUGUAUUGUGUGAGACUGCGUUCCUUUUCUAUUGAUAAACUGUAGACCCAC